This is a long non-coding RNA of Gasterosteus aculeatus aculeatus (three-spined stickleback), 1206 nucleotides long. The record is from Ensembl. NCBI's taxonomy places the organism in Eukaryota, Metazoa, Chordata, Actinopteri, Perciformes, Gasterosteidae.
GUGCUGAGGGCCUCACUGGUGAUCCUGUUUGGUGAUGGUGUCCCUUCGUGUGUAGUGUCUUAUUCACUCCCCUCCUUUGUUUUGCUUUGCCCUUGUGUGUUUGGAGUGUUAAUUUUGGAUUGUGGUGCUCCCAUUUUAAGUUUAUACUUUCACCCCUCACUCACCUUGAGCACAAAUGCCCCAGCCCUGGAAUACAUGAUAAUUUAUACAAAUAGGAUAACUUUUUUAGAUUUGAAUUGUGCCCAAUAAACUGUUGUAUAUGCUUUUGGAAACACGUCUCUCGCCUGCUCAGUGUAACGAACUUGUGUUGUCCUUUUGUUUAGAUUUAGUAAUUUACCUUAUUCAUAGAUUUCUUUCUUUUCCCUGGGUGAUUUCUCCCAGGGUGGCGUUGCUGGUUUCCUUUAGUUUCUUUCUUUUUCCCCUAGUUAAAAACAUAGAUUAUUGGGGUAGUUCCUACCCCACCUCACGCUUGCCACAAACUUGGCGUUGCUGGCAGGACUUAUACUGAAAAAAAAAAAGGCAGAGACGUGUGUUCCUUUGUUUUUUGUUGUUUGUUUUUUUGUUUUUUUUGUUUUUCUGAAUAAGACAAAGCAGCAGCAGUCCCCUGGCAACCAUGGAGGAAGAAAUGCAAGAGUUGCGAGCUCUGGUUGCGCAGUUAAAGGCUGACAAUGAGAGGUUGCGUCAAGCUUCGUUGGUGCCGCCCUCUAGUGCUACACCUUCAACCUCCUCAGUACUGCCGACUGCCCUUACUUCUGCCAGUGCCCCUGCAGCCGAGAGGCCCCACAACCUGUCACGCAGGCAUUACAGGAGUACCAUCAGGUGACCACGCAGACCUCCCAGGAGCUGUCUGGGAAGGCAAAGGUCAGAGAGCAGCAUCUUCAGCGACUUGACGUGGUACUAGCCCGUCUGAAACAGGAGAGACUCAAGGCCAAGCUCUCCAAAUGCACCUUUUUCCAGCCAGAGGUGCGGUAUCUCGGCCACAUUAUAUCGGCCAACGGUGUCGCCACGGACCCAUCCAAAAUAGAGGCCGUGGCAAAGUGGCAGCCUCCCCAGACGGUCUCUGAGCUUCGGUCUUUCCUGGGUUUCGCAAGCUACUAUCGCCGCUUCGUGGAGGGCUUUGCAACGCUGGCAGCCCCCCUCCACCGACUGAUUGCUGAGCUUGGAGGCACAAAGUCUAGACGGGUCCAGCGGUCCCCACAGCUGAGC